RNAcentral lists this long non-coding RNA (1142 nucleotides) under Capra hircus (goat). RNAcentral's name for it is "lncRNA (ENSCHIG00010017318.1)". Lineage: Eukaryota; Metazoa; Chordata; Mammalia; Artiodactyla; Bovidae. The record is from RNAcentral.
UAUACAUUCUACAUACAAGUCCCUUAUCAGGUAAAGGAUUUGCAAAAAUUUUCUCCAUUCUCUGGGUUCUUUUCACUUCCUUCAAGGUGUCCUUUGAAGCACAAAAGUUUGAUAAUUUCAAUGAAGUUCAGUUUAUCUGUUUGGCCUUGUUUUGUAAGAAAUAGUAAGUUGGAUUGCAGCCUUCUAACCAUCCACUUGUGACUGCAGCUGCGUUGCCCCUUUCCCCAGAAACCGACGGGGAAAAAUGUUCUGUGAAAAUACCUGUUGUCUGGAGUGAAGACAAGAAGCUCUGGAAAGCGGCAAAAGUCGAGUCUCACCAGUGGUGGUUUUGUUUUGGUUUACCUUUUCUGCUCCUGAGGUUCCUUCACUUCGAGCAGUUGGGUGGAAAGGAGAAUGCGAUAGAAAGCGGAGAGCAGGAUCAAGGUAAGUUGGCCACCUCUGUAACAUCAGAUGUUCCAGAUUAAGAAAAAAAAAACAUGAAUAAUAAUUUUUAAAAAUGAAUAAGCCUGCUUUUUCCCCAUCUAAAGAAAGCCCCUCUAAGUAAGCAGCUAUGACACGCGUGCCUCAGGAGUGCGGAUAUUACUGCUAUGUGAAACAUGCUGAUUAAAAUCCUUGUUUCUGUCUCAGGCUGCAGAUUUUUCACACAGUUUGAAGUAACAGUAAUGCUAAGAACACUUAAUUAAAAGCGCUUGAUGUGGUCUGCUACUGUUUCAAGUACCUCAGGUGCUUUAGUGCAUUAAGUAGCCCUUUAUUUUACCGUCUUUACCCAUCACUUGAGCAAAAGCUGUAUGCGCAAUGUGUGUAUUGCGGAAGGGUGCUAAGUUUUGUGGGCCAGUGCUUGAGUAAACAAUAUCUAACAGAAAACAGUAUUUUCUAGGAAUGCUGUACAUUCACCUAAGCCCUAGCUUCUCGCCCUGCCCAGGCAAAGAAAUCAUAAAGAGGGAGGGAGAGACCAACAGCUUGAAUUAAAACUAAUUAGACUUGGGGGUGGUGGGGUGGUGAGGAGGGGUGGGGGUGGUAGUGAAUGAAUCACUUCCAGGAGCAUUGGAAAGGGAAAUAUAGAAAUUUGGAGUCGUGUCUCUAAAACAUGUAAACGGAUUCGCCUCGGUCUCUCUCUCCUCCACUGCAUCUUACACUGAUUU